Anas platyrhynchos (mallard) is the source of this 622-nucleotide non-coding RNA. The record is from RefSeq and is a predicted model, not a curated record. NCBI's taxonomy places the organism in Eukaryota, Metazoa, Chordata, Aves, Anseriformes, Anatidae.
CUGCUCGGGGUUAAGCUGGGCAUCGGUCAGCGAGUGAUCUGCUUCAGACCUGCUCAUAUUCAGUCUUUCGUGGACAAGCUGACAUAAUAUGGACAGAUAUCAUUCCAAGAGAAUUCUUUUUCUCUGCAGAUCUGUAGAAGAUAGAGCCAGGAAGAAAGGAGAAACUGCACAGAACAAGGCAUUCCCUGGCCACUGCUUUAUAGAUGGAACCACAGGAAGAUGUAUCACACUAAUAACAGAUGGAAAUUUCAAGCCAACUUAGGGCAUGUCUGUAAAAAACCUCUGCUAGCUUUGCCCAGCAUACACCUAAAACUGUAAAAACAAUUUUAAAACUCCUUUUAUUACUUUUGUUUAAUGACAGUGAAAGACAAUACUAUUGACAGAUGUCAAUACUAGUCAAUUGUCAAUACUAUUUGCUUCCUCUGUCAUUAAGAAAUAAUAACAAUAACAGAAAAUGUCAUAAUAAAACUCACAAUAUUCUUUUCCUGAUUACUACCAUUAUUCGCUAUCUAAAGAAGUCACAUGUAUUUUAUUUUCUUGUAUAACACCAAUUUAGUUAUAAGAAAUGACUGACAAUAUUCAGUUAAAGUGUACACCUAGUAAACCAUAUAUGUGAACAAUA